This 72-nucleotide transfer RNA is filed under the name Camelus bactrianus (Bactrian camel). It matches the Rfam family "tRNA". Rfam says of the family: Transfer RNA (tRNA) molecules are approximately 80 nucleotides in length. Their secondary structure includes four short double-helical elements and three loops (D, anti-codon, and T loops). Lineage: Eukaryota; Metazoa; Chordata; Mammalia; Artiodactyla; Camelidae. The record is from Rfam by way of RNAcentral. RNAcentral also lists the same sequence under 2 other names.
GAGGGAAUAGCUCAGUGGUCGAGCGCGUGCUUAGCAUGCAUAAGGUCCUGGGUUCAAUCCCCAGCACCUCCA